GGGGUACCCCAGGAAUGCAACUUUAGUAGAACAUCUGAAAGUCAGUCAGUGACCAGAGUCCAGGACAGGAACCAUAUGACCAUCUCAGCAGAGGCAGAGAACGCGUCUAACCAACUCCAGCAUACACUCCACAUGCAGAUAUUUUACACUCAUAGAUGAAAAUCCAGUGACCAAAUAUUGAAGGCACCAGACCGUCCUCCAUACGGUCAGGAAUGAAAUAGGAAUCUUUGCUCCCAGCAUGCAUCUGUUUAGCUUGCACUGGAGGAUCUGGGCAGCAAAAUCAAACACUAGAAAGGAAAUGAGUGAUUGUUUCAUUUUUUUUUUUUAAUGAAAAAGAAGAACUAAACUUUCUCUAUUUAUGCAUGACAUGACCUUAAUAUGUAGGAAAUCAUAAACCACACAAAACUUUUAAGGCUAAUAAAUUAACUUAGCAAGGUUCCAGGUGACAUGAUUGGUAAUACAAAAGUCAAUUGUAAUUUUCUAAAAUCAAAUUGAGAAAAUUCUAUUCACAGUUACAUCCAAAAGAAUAAAAUACUUAGAAAUAAGUCUUUUUUUUAAGUAGGUGAUUUAUACCUUAAAAUCUUUAAAACAUUGUUCAAUGAAUUUUAAGAAUAAGUAAAUGAAUUUAAAAACUAGGGGCUGGAGGAGCUGGCUCAGCGGGUAAGAGCACCUGUUAUUCUUGCAGAGGACUCGGGUUCAAUUCCCAGCACCCACAUGCCGACUCGCAAUCGUUUGCAGCUCCAGGGAAUCCAAGGCUCCUGUGGGUGGGAAGCAAGCACACGGUGUGCAGGCGUGCUUGCAGGCAAGAUGCGCACACAGAUAAAUAAGUCUAGAAAAAGUUGUUAACUGAAAAAUUAUCAUAUGAUCAUGGGUUACAUGGAAUACUAAGAUUUAAACACUACUCAAAAUGACCUACAGAUGGAACAUAAAAUCUAUCAUAAAAUUAAAGCUGGUUUUUUGUUUCAGAAAGGAACAGACUAACCUGAAACUUGUAAAGGAUCCAGAGUAGCCAUCACCGUUCUAGAAAGAAAGCAUAAAGAUGUGAGACAGUUCCUGAUUCCAAAGCUUCCUUACUGAUACGGUAUCACUGCAGUGGGACACUGGCAUACUGAUGUAGAAACAGAUUGGUAGGAUAGGACUUAAGGUCCAGAAAUAAAGUCUUACACAUACACAGUCAGUUUACAAGGGAGCCAACACCUUUCAGUGGGAAAAAGAAUAGUC
This 1221-nucleotide long non-coding RNA is filed under the name Mus musculus (house mouse). Its description in RNAcentral is "long non-coding RNA chr13:95000813-95002034". The record is from RNAcentral. Lineage: Eukaryota; Metazoa; Chordata; Mammalia; Rodentia; Muridae.